Molecule: ribosomal RNA, 879 nt
Filed under: uncultured bacterium
Lineage: Bacteria
Description: bacterial SSU rRNA
Rfam family: Bacterial small subunit ribosomal RNA
Source: RNAcentral
AGAGUUUGAUCAUGGCUCAGGAUGAACGCUGGCGGCGUGCCUAACACAUGCAAGUCGAGCGAUUCUCUUCGGAGAAGAGCGGCGGACGGGUGAGUAACGCGUGGGUAACCUGCCCUGUACACACGGAUAACAUACCGAAAGGUAUGCUAAUACGAGAUAAUAUGCUUUCAUCGCAUGGUAGAAGUAUCAAAGCUCCGGCGGUACAGGAUGGACCCGCGUCUGAUUAGCUAGUUGGUAAGGUAACGGCUUACCAAGGCGACGAUCAGUAGCCGACCUGAGAGGGUGAUCGGCCACAUUGGGACUGAGACACGGUCCAAACUCCUACGGGAGGCAGCAGUGGGGAAUAUUGCACAAUGGGCGAAAGCCUGAUGCAGCAACGCCGCGUGAGCGAUGAAGGCCUUCGGGUCGUAAAGCUCUGUCCUCAAGGAAGAUAAUGACGGUACUUGAGGAGGAAGCCCCGGCUAACUACGUGCCAGCAGCCGCGGUAAUACGUAGGGGGCUAGCGUUAUCCGGAAUUACUGGGCGUAAAGGGUGCGUAGGUGGUUUCUUAAGUCAGAGGUGAAAGGCUACGGCUCAACCGUAGUAAGCCUUUGAAACUGGGAAACUUGAGUGCAGGAGAGGAGAGUGGAAUUCCUAGUGUAGCGGUGAAAUGCGUAGAUAUUAGGAGGAACACCAGUUGCGAAGGCGGCUCCCUGGACUGUAACUGACACUGAGGCACGAAAGCGUGGGGAGCAAACAGGAUCAGAUACCCUGGUAGUCCACGCCGUAAACGAUGAGUACUAGCUGUCGGAGGUUACCCCCUUCGGUGGCGCAGCUAACGCAUUAAGUACUCCGCCUGGGAAGUACGCUCGCAAGAGUGAAACUCAAAGGAAUUGACGG